RNAcentral lists this long non-coding RNA (596 nucleotides) under Equus caballus (horse). RNAcentral describes it as "lncRNA (ENSECAG00000047812.1)". The record is from RNAcentral. Lineage: Eukaryota; Metazoa; Chordata; Mammalia; Perissodactyla; Equidae.
GGAGUCCAGGCACAGCAUGGCUGGGUCCGCUGCUCAGGAUGUCACAAGGCUGCCGGCAGGUGCUGGCUGGGGCUGCGGCCUCCUCAAAGUCUCCACUGGAGAGCCUUCCAAGCUCCUCCUGGUUGCUGGUCAGCUGGGGGCUCUGCCACAUCUCUCUGGACUCUGUCACCCAGACCAAUAGAGGAGCCAUCAUCUUAAACGUUGCUGAUUACUGUGGCAAAGAGAAAGAAAGGCCUAGAAGGUCUCCCAUUGGCAGCCAAGUGCUCCAGCUCACCAAUGUUACACCUCACUUCUAUUCAAAAUGCCCCGCAAGGGGGCCGGCCUAUACAAUCUACUGUUUCUAAGGGCAAGAGCUGGAAGGGUUGGAGGACAGCACCCCUGUCGCCCCUAGAAAGCCUCUUUACUGAGAUGUGGCCCACAGGGAGUUUGUCAAUAAAGGAGGUUCAAAGAAGAACAGUUACCUGAAGGACGUUUCAUGUCAAGCAGAUAAGAGUUACAGAGCUCUCGGCAGUCUGCAGGGGUCCAACUUCAAGGUAAAAUGUUCAAAAUUAGUACUAGAUCAUUCACUGAUUGGUAAUAAUGAAAAAUUAAUAAAG